GAGAAUACCAAGGCGCUUGAGAGAACUCGGGUGAAGGAACUAGGCAAAAUGGUGCUGUAACUUCGGGAGAAGGCACGCUGAUAUGUAGGUGAGGUCCCUCGCGGAUGGAGCUGAAAUCAGUCGAAGAUACCAGCUGGCUGCAACUGUUUAUUAAAAACACAGCACUGUGCAAACACGAAAGUGGACGUAUACGGUGUGACGCCUGCCCGGUGCCGGAAGGUUAAUUGAUGGGGUUAGCGCAAGCGAAGCUCUUGAUCGAAGCCCCGGUAAACGGCGGCCGUAACGAUAACGGUCCUAAGGUAGCGAAAUUCCUUGUCGGGUAAGUUCCGACCUGCACGAAUGGCGUAAUGAUGGCCAGGCUGUCUCCACCCGAGACUCAGUGAAAUUGAACUCGCUGUGAAGAUGCAGUGUACCCGCGGCAAGACGGAAAGACCCCGUGAACCUUUACUAUAGCUUGACACUGAACAUUGAGCCUUGAUGUGUAGGAUAGGUGGGAGGCUUUGAAGUGUGGACGCCAGUCUGCAUGGAGCCGACCUUGAAAUACCACCCUUUAAUGUUUGAUGUUCUAACGUUGACCCGUAAUCCGGGUUGCGGACAGUGUCUGGUGGGUAGUUUGACUGGGGCGGUCUCCUCCUAAAGAGUAACGGAGGAGCACGAAGGUUGGCUAAUCCUGGUCGGACAUCAGGAGGUUAGUGCAAUGGCAUAAGCCAGCUUGACUGCGAGCGUGACGGCGCGAGCAGGUGCGAAAGCAGGUCAUAGUGAUCCGGUGGUUCUGAAUGGAAGGGCCAUCGCUCAACGGAUAAAAGGUACUCCGGGGAUAACAGGCUGAUACCGCCCAAGAGUUCAUAUCGACGGCGGUGUUUGGCACCUCGAUGUCGGCUCAUCACAUCCUGGGGCUGAAGUAGGUCCCAAGGGUAUGGCUGUUCGCCAUUUAAAGUGGUACGCGAGCUGGGUUUGGAACGUCGUGAGACAGUUCGGUCCCUAUCUGCCGUGGGCGCUGGAGAACUGAGGGGGGCUGCUCCUAGUACGAGAGGACCGGAGUGGACGCAUCACUGGUGUUCGAGUUGUCAUGCCAAUGGCACUGCCCGGUAGCUAAAUGCGGAAGAGAUAAGUGCUGAAAGCAUCUAAGCACGAAACUUGCCCCGAGAUGAGUUCUCCCUGACCCUUUAAGGGUCCUGAAGGAACGUUGAAGACGACGACGUUGAUAGGCCGGGUGUGUAAGCGCAGCGAUGCGUUGAGCUAACCGGUACUAAUGAACCGUGGGGCUUAACCG
RNAcentral lists this ribosomal RNA (1273 nucleotides) under metagenome. Its description in RNAcentral is "bacterial LSU rRNA". It matches the Rfam family "Bacterial large subunit ribosomal RNA", at positions 1674 to 2925 of the family's 2925-position model. The record is from RNAcentral.